GACGGCCUUUAUGGGUUGUAAACCUCUUUUAGUAGGGAAGAAGCGAAAGUGACGGUACCUGCAGAAAAAGCACCGGCUAACUACGUGCCAGCAGCCGCGGUAAUACGUAGGGUGCAAGCGUUGUCCGGAAUUAUUGGGCGUAAAGAGCUCGUAGGCGGUUUGUCGCGUCUGCUGUGAAAACUGGAGGCUCAACCUCCAGCCUGCAGUGGGUACGGGCAGACUAGAGUGCGGUAGGGGAGAAUGGAAAUCCUGGUGUAGCGGUGGAAUGCGCAGAUAUCAGGAGGAACACCGAUGGCGAAGGCAGAACUCUGGGCCGUAACUGACGCUGAGGAGCGAAAGCAUGGGGAGCGAACAGGAAUAGAUACCCUGGUAGUCCAUGCCGUAAACGUUGGGAACUAGAUGUGGGGGCCAAUCCACGGUCUCCGUGUCGCAGCUAACGCAUUAAGUUCCCCGCCUGGGGAGUACGGCCGCAAGGCGAUAACACAAAAGAAUUGACGGGGGCCCGCACAA
RNAcentral lists this ribosomal RNA (510 nucleotides) under Microbacteriaceae bacterium Ri3Pt_4497. RNAcentral describes it as "bacterial SSU rRNA". It matches the Rfam family "Bacterial small subunit ribosomal RNA", at positions 410 to 928 of the family's 1533-position model. Lineage: Bacteria; Bacillati; Actinomycetota; Actinomycetes; Micrococcales; Microbacteriaceae. The record is from RNAcentral.